CUAUGCACUCCUACGGGAGGCAGCAGUGGGGAAUAUUGCACAAUGGGCGCAAGCCUGAUGCAGCCAUGCCGCGUGUAUGAAGAAGGCCUUCGGGUUGUAAAGUACUUUCAGCAGUGAGGAAGGUGGGUAUGUUAAUAGCAUACUCAUUUGACGUUAGCUGCAGAAGAAGCACCGGCUAACUCCGUGCCAGCAGCCGCGGUAAUACGGAGGGUGCGAGCGUUAAUCGGAAUUACUGGGCGUAAAGCGCAUGCAGGUGGUUUGUUAAGUCAGAUGUGAAAGCCCGGGGCUCAACCUCGGAAUUGCAUUUGAAACUGGCAAACUAGAGUACUGUAGAGGGGGUAGAAUUUCAGGUGUAGCGGUGAAAUGCGUAGAGAUCUGAAGGAAUACCGGUGGCGAAGGCGGCCCCCUGGACAGAUACUGACACUCAGAUGCGAAAGCGUGGGGAGCAAACAGGAUUAGAUACCCUGGUAG
Molecule: ribosomal RNA, 471 nt
Filed under: uncultured bacterium
Lineage: Bacteria
Description: bacterial SSU rRNA
Rfam family: Bacterial small subunit ribosomal RNA
Source: RNAcentral